AAGAGGACUCUGGCCAGACUGCCGUUGACAAAACGGAGGAAGGUGGGGAUGACGUCAAAUCAUCAUGCCCUUUAUGACUUGGGCUACACACGUACUACAAUGGCGUUAAACAAAGAGAAGCAAGACCGCGAGGUGGAGCAAAACUCAGAAACAACGUCCCAGUUCGGACUGCAGGCUGCAACUCGCCUGCACGAAGUCGGAAUUGCUAGUAAUCGCAGAUCAGCAUGCUGCGGUGAAUACGUUCCCGGGCCUUGUACACACCGCCCGUCACACCAUGAGAGCCGGGGGGACCCGAAGUCGGUAGUCUAACCGCAAGGAGGACGCCGCCGAAGGUAAAACUGGUGAUUGGGGUGAAGUCGUAACAAGGUAGCCGUAGGAGAACCUGCGGCUGGAUCACCUCCUUUCUAAGGAG
This 412-nucleotide ribosomal RNA is filed under the name Klebsiella pneumoniae subsp. pneumoniae. RNAcentral's name for it is "bacterial SSU rRNA". It matches the Rfam family "Bacterial small subunit ribosomal RNA", at positions 1131 to 1533 of the family's 1533-position model. The record is from RNAcentral. Lineage: Bacteria; Pseudomonadati; Pseudomonadota; Gammaproteobacteria; Enterobacterales; Enterobacteriaceae.